AGGUGAAAAGUACCCCGGAAGGGGAGUGAAAGAGAACUUGAAACCGUGUGCUUACAAGUAGUCAGAGCCCGUUAAUGGGUGAUGGCGUGCCUUUUGUAGAAUGAACCGGCGAGUUACGAUCUGAUGCAAGGUUAAGCAGCAAAUGUGGAGCCGCAGCGAAAGCGAGUCUGAAUAGGGCGUUGAGUAUUUGGUCGUAGACCCGAAACCAGGUGAUCUACCCUUGGUCAGGUUGAAGUUCAGGUAACACUGAAUGGAGGACCGAACCGACUUACGUUGAAAAGUGAGCGGAUGAACUGAGGGUAGCGGAGAAAUUCCAAUCGAACUUGGAGAUAGCUGGUUCUCUCCGAAAUAGCUUUAGGGCUAGCCUCAAGUGAUGAUUAUUGGAGGUAGAGCACUGUUUGGACGAGGGGCCCCUCUCGGGUUACCGAAUUCAGACAAACUCCGAAUGCCAAUUAAUUUAACUUGGGAGUCAGAACAUGGGUGAUAAGGUCCGUGUUCGAAAGGGAAACAGCCCAGACCACCAGCUAAGGUCCCAAAAUAUAUGUUAAGUGGAAAAGGAUGUGGCGUUGCCCAGACAACUAGGAUGUUGGCUUAGAAGCAGCCAUCAUUUAAAGAGUGCGUAAUAGCUCACUAGUCGAGUGACACUGCGCCGAAAAUGUACCGGGGCUAAACAUAUUACCGAAGCUGUGGAUUGUCCUUUGGACAAUGGUAGGAGAGCGUUCUAAGGGCGUCGAAGCAUGAUCGCAAGGACAUGUGGAGCGCUUAGAAGUGAGAAUGCCGGUGUGAGUAGCGAAAGACGGGUGAGAAUCCCGUCCACCGAUUGACUAAGGUUUCCAGAGGAAGGCUCGUCCGCUCUGGGUUAGUCGGGUCCUAAGCUGAGGCCGACAGGCGUAGGCGAUGGAUAACAGGUUGAUAUUCCUGUACCACCUAGUAUCGUUUUAAU
This 943-nucleotide ribosomal RNA is filed under the name Staphylococcus epidermidis. Its description in RNAcentral is "partial 23S ribosomal RNA". It matches the Rfam family "Bacterial large subunit ribosomal RNA", at positions 512 to 1463 of the family's 2925-position model. The record is from RNAcentral. Lineage: Bacteria; Bacillati; Bacillota; Bacilli; Caryophanales; Staphylococcaceae.